This 274-nucleotide ribosomal RNA is filed under the name uncultured bacterium. Its description in RNAcentral is "partial 16S ribosomal RNA". It matches the Rfam family "Bacterial small subunit ribosomal RNA", at positions 523 to 796 of the family's 1533-position model. The record is from RNAcentral.
AUACGAAAGGUGCAAGCGUUGUUCGGAUUUACUGGGCGUAAAGAGAGUGUAGGUUGUUUAUUAAGUCGGAUGUGAAAUCCCGGGGCUCAACCUCGGAACUGCAUUCGAUACUGAUAGGCUAGAGUUUGGGAGGGGUAAGCGGAAUUCCGUGUGUAGCAGUGAAAUGCGUAGAUAUACGGAGGAACACCUGAGGCGAAGGCGGCUUACUGGACCAAUACCGACACUGAGACUCGAAAGCGUGGGUAGCAAACAGGAUUAGAAACCCUAGUAGUCC